GACGAACGCUGGCGGCGUGCCUAAUACAUGCAAGUCGAGCGAAGUUUUUCUGGUGCUUGCACCGGAAAAACUUAGCGGCGAACGGGUGAGUAACACGUAAAGAACCUGCCUCAUAGACUGGGACAACUAUUGGAAACGAUAGCUAAUACCGGAUAAUAGCAUUAACUGCAUGGUUGAUGUUUAAAAGUUGGUUUUGCUAACACUAUGAGAUGGCUUUGCGGUGCAUUAGCUAGUUGGUGGGGUAAAGGCCUACCAAGGCGACGAUGCAUAGCCGACCUGAGAGGGUGAUCGGCCACACUGGGACUGAGACACGGCCCAGACUCCUACGGGAGGCAGCAGUAGGGAAUCUUCCGCAAGGGGCGAAAGCCUGACGGAGCAACGCCGCGGGAGUGAAGAAGGAUUUCGGUUCGUAAAGCUCUGUUGUUAGGGAAGAAUGAGUGUGUAGUAACUAUACACAGUAGAGACGGUACCUAACCAGAAAGCCACGGCUAACUACGUG
RNAcentral lists this ribosomal RNA (499 nucleotides) under uncultured bacterium. RNAcentral describes it as "partial 16S ribosomal RNA". It matches the Rfam family "Bacterial small subunit ribosomal RNA", at positions 28 to 507 of the family's 1533-position model. The record is from RNAcentral.